UUAGCAGAGAUGCUUUGGUGCCUUCGGGAACUCUGAGACAGGUGCUGCAUGGCUGUCGUCAGCUCGUGUUGUGAAAUGUUGGGUUAAGUCCGCAACGAGCGCAACCCUUAUCCUUUGUUGCCAGCGGUUCGGCCGGGAACUCAAAGGAGACUGCCGGUGAUAAACCGGAGGAAGGUGGGGAUGACGUCAAGUCAUCAUGGCCCUUACGGCCAGGGCUACACACGUGCUACAAUGGCGCAUACAAAGAGAAGCGACCUCGCGAGAGCAAGCGGACCUCAUAAAGUGCGUCGUAGUCCGGAUUGGAGUCUGCAACUCGACUCCAUGAAGUCGGAAUCGCUAGUAAUCGUAGAUCAGAAUGCUACGGUGAAUACGUUCCCGGGCCUUGUACACACCGCCCGUCACACCAUGGGAGUGGGUUGCAAAAGAAGUAGGUAGCUUAACCUUCGGGAGGGCGCUUACCACUUUGUGAUUCAUGACUGGGGUGAAGUCGUAACAAGGUAAGCGUACGUGU
RNAcentral lists this ribosomal RNA (511 nucleotides) under uncultured bacterium. RNAcentral describes it as "bacterial SSU rRNA". It matches the Rfam family "Bacterial small subunit ribosomal RNA", at positions 997 to 1509 of the family's 1533-position model. The record is from RNAcentral.